AUACGGAGGGAGUAAGCGUUAUUCGGAAUCACUGGGCGUAAAGGACGCGUAGGCGGGUUUGUAAGUCAGGUGUGAAAUCCUACAGCUCAACUGUAGAACUGCACUUGAAACUACAGACCUAGAGUAUGGAAGGGGCAGAUGGAAUUAGUGGUGUAGGGGUAAAAUCCGUAGAUAUCACUAGGAAUACCGAAAGCGAAGGCGAUCUGCUGGGACAUUACUGACGCUGAGGCGUGAAAGCGUGGGGAGCAAACAGGAUUAGAAACCCUAGUAGUCC
This 274-nucleotide ribosomal RNA is filed under the name uncultured bacterium. Its description in RNAcentral is "partial 16S ribosomal RNA". It matches the Rfam family "Bacterial small subunit ribosomal RNA", at positions 523 to 796 of the family's 1533-position model. The record is from RNAcentral.